RNAcentral lists this ribosomal RNA (253 nucleotides) under uncultured bacterium. Its description in RNAcentral is "partial 16S ribosomal RNA". It matches the Rfam family "Bacterial small subunit ribosomal RNA", at positions 524 to 776 of the family's 1533-position model. The record is from RNAcentral.
UACGUAGGGCGCAAGCGUUAUCCGGAAUUAUUGGGCGUAAAGAGCUCGUAGGCGGUUUGUUGCGUCUGCCGUGAAAGUCCGGGGCUCAACUCCGGAUCUGCGGUGGGUACGGGCAGACUAGAGUGCAGUAGGGGAGACUGGAAUUCCUGGUGUAGCGGUGAAAUGCGCAGAUAUCAGGAGGAACACCGAUGGCGAAGGCAGGUCUCUGGGCUGUAACUGACGCUGAGGAGCGAAAGCAUGGGGAGCGAACAGG